UAUUUUUAGUGAGGGGUGGCUAAAAUAGAAGGGAGCCGAAAUAUGAUUUACCCCAAGCAAAAACAAGUAUACAGAAAUCUAGAAAUUAAAUUAAUUUUUAUUAAUCAGUUUGUGUGACGCCUAUGAAUAGAAUAGAUUAUUUUUCAUAUCACUGAGUUUGGUCAAUCGUAGAGAAGCAUGUAGUAAAUUGAAGUCCAUGUGAUUGAUGACAGUUUUUUGUUAUGGGCCCAGAUUUACGCCAACUGUGGGAGUUGAAUACGUGGACGUGACUUAAUCAAGUUUGUUUUGUGAACUGCUGUGUGUCUAUUCAGAAACCAGAGUAUCAAAGCAACUGGGGGCAUUGGAAAAGGCGAAUCACCUUACAGUUGAAGCAUCAAAAGGCUUUAGAUGGUAACUUGACAUAGGCUGCUGAUAGUUCCAAUAAGGAUGAAUUCGAAACCAAGGUCUCGCUUGUUAAGCUCUUUUUGGUGAAUACGCUGAAUGCUAUCAAUGAGGAACUUACUUCUACUUAAUGCGGCAAUGAGUUCAACAAUGCCAGUGUUCAAAUGCUGAUGAAUGAGAAUGGAAUAAGCAUGCUAAAAACCACUUCAUAUACCCUUCAGCAAAAUGGGGCGUCGAAACGAGAAAUCCGCACGGUUAUUGAAGCUGCGCGGUCUAAGAUCAUAAUAUCUCGUGAUGUUAUUUUUAAAAGAGAAACUCCUUUGAUCAAAUUACACAAGUCUGCCAAUGUCGAGCCUGUGUUAGAACUCUCCGAAGGAAAUUCACAGCUUGACCCAGCAUUUCUGUUUCGGGAACUGGAGUUGAUCAGGCUGAAGCAGGGAAUGACGAGGGUACAUUGCCAAUCGAACAGUCACCUCAGCUUCGCAAAAGUGGCCGCACCAGGCAGUUGCCCUCAUACCUUGCUAAUAAGUAUGUGCUCAUUGCAUUGUGUUUUCACUGGCGGCCACUACCGUCCCGUUCCCGCCAGUAAGAACACUCUCAUUGAGAUCCCGAGGCAGCGAUCUUGAUUUGACUGUCUCUGACCGUAACCUAAUCUGACUGUGACCGUUGGUGUGAAUCCGCCUUAACUCAUUGAUAGAAAAUGAUACUUAGGAUCUCGUUAACUUACCCGAAGGCCAGAAGGUUGUUGGUAAUAGAUGGGUACUAGAAGUCAAACUCAAAGCGAAUAACGAUGUCGACAGAUAUAAAGCCCUUUUGGUUGCAAAGGGGUACACAAAGGGAAAAGAUAGCUGUGUGGCUGAGUAGGCUACUGAACGAAAUAACAAGCCUGUCUCGAUUAACAACGUUCCUUGUUGACAAUAUGACUACUAUAAGACUAAUCUGGAAUCCAGAGUUUCAUUGUCGGACUAAGUACAUUGAGAUGUGCUUCCACUUCAUAUGGGAAAAAGUCAUAAAUGAGCAAAUCAAGCUGGAGCACGUUUCAAGUCAUCAUCAACUUGCCGAUAUGCUCACGAAGAGUCUUUCUGCUCUUCCGUUCUGAAUUAAUAGUAAAUCUAUUGUAGCCUUGAGUUUGAGGGAAGCUGUUGGAGCCACCUGCCUUGUUCUUGGUCAAACACAACACAACAACAAUUGACUUACCUUUUGAAUAUUGAUUUCACGGAAACUUUUCUCAAAUUAAGGAUUUCCAGGAAACUGAAGAUUCUAGAAUGUGAUGGUUGAGUAUAUAAAAAGAGUCUUGAGCAGCCGGAUGGAUUGAGUAAGUAAUUUGAGGUCAAAAUGAACACAUCGAGAUGAUGACAAUUAAAAUGAAUUACGAAUUCAAAUAAAUGAAAUGUUGGAUAUUGGCUAAUAGUUAACAAAAUAAAUAGAUAAAUUUUU
Diorhabda carinulata is the source of this 1818-nucleotide long non-coding RNA. RefSeq lists it as uncharacterized. NCBI's taxonomy places the organism in Eukaryota, Metazoa, Arthropoda, Insecta, Coleoptera, Chrysomelidae. The transcript is spliced from 3 exons. The record is from RefSeq and is a predicted model, not a curated record.